CUACGGGCCGCUGCAGUGAGGAAUAUUGCACAAUGGGGGGAACCCUGAUGCAGCAACGCCGCGUGGAGGAUGACGCAUUUCGGUGUGUAAACUCCUUUUAUAUGUCAAGAAAAUGACGGUAGCAUAUGAAUAAGCACCGGCUAACUCCGUGCCAGCAGCCGCGGUAAUACGGAGGGUGCAAGCGUUACUCGGAAUCACUGGGCGUAAAGGACGCGUAGGCGGGUUGGAAAGUCAGGUGUGAAAUCCUACAGCUUAACUGUAGAACUGCACUUGAAACUUCUAAUCUAGAGUAUGGGAGGGGAAGAUGGAAUUAGUGGUGUAGGGGUAAAAUCCGUAGACAUCACUAGGAAUACCUAAAGCGAAGGCGAUCUCCUGGAACAUUACUGACGCUAAGGCGUGAAAGCGUGGGGAGCAAACAGGAUUAGAUACCCCCGUAGUC
This 439-nucleotide ribosomal RNA is filed under the name uncultured bacterium. RNAcentral describes it as "partial 16S ribosomal RNA". It matches the Rfam family "Bacterial small subunit ribosomal RNA", at positions 339 to 795 of the family's 1533-position model. The record is from RNAcentral.